RNAcentral lists this ribosomal RNA (253 nucleotides) under uncultured bacterium. Its description in RNAcentral is "partial 16S ribosomal RNA". It matches the Rfam family "Bacterial small subunit ribosomal RNA", at positions 524 to 776 of the family's 1533-position model. The record is from RNAcentral.
UACGUAGGAGGCGAGCGUUAUCCGGAUUCACUGGGCGUAAAGCGUGUGCAGGCGGUUUGGUUAGUUGGAUGUGAAAGCUCCUGGCUCAACUGGGAGAGGUCGUUCAAUACUGCCAGACUAGAGGACGGUAGAGGAGAGUGGAAUUCCCGGUGUAGUGGUGAAAUGCGUAGAUAUCGGGAGGAACACCAGUGGCGAAAGCGGCUUCCUGGUCCAGCACCGACGUUCAGGCACGAAAGCGUGGGGAGCAAACAGG